AUUAUUGAUUCACUAUUGUGCUGAUUACCAUUUGCACCAUUUAUACCAAGUGCAGUUGCAGCAAUAUGCUCUAAUGCUUGCAAGAAUCAGCGGAGAAAAAGAACAUGACAAAUACAAAUGAAAAGAGUGUAGCUUGUGCGUGUAUGGUUUGCUUAUCCUCCUCUCACAGCAUGUUUAAGUUUUUUUUCGUGAGAUCAUGAAAUCAUAAUUUUCUUGAUGUUUUUGGAUAUGGAUGUUCGAUUUGAUUUUAGAAUAGAAGCUACCUGCAUCACAUUCAAAAACCAGAACAAAAGAUCAUCUAUGGAGGAAGGCUAUGCCUGUGAACAGCACCCGGAGAUUUCGCAAUCUGAUGCAAUACUAAUUCAGGGGAAAAGCCCUCGUAGCAUGUACAAACAAGGAGCAAGAAACAAGAAACAGAAGACCACUCUGCACACACUCAAAUCUGAAGAUUUCUAUGAAAUAAAAUGUAGUUAAAACAAGUUCAUCAGAGACGCUGCUUUACAUAUACGAGGAUUUUAUAUAUUAUCAGUCCAUGCAUG
Molecule: long non-coding RNA, 539 nt
Filed under: Populus trichocarpa (black cottonwood)
Lineage: Eukaryota; Viridiplantae; Streptophyta; Magnoliopsida; Malpighiales; Salicaceae
Description: long non-coding RNA (PTRI_LNC000090)
Source: RNAcentral